GACAGUUUGGUCCCUAUCUGCCGUGGGCGUUGGAAGUUUGAGGGGGGCUGCUCCUAGUACGAGAGGACCGGAGUGGACGGAUCUCUGGUGGACCGGUUGUCACGCCAGUGGCAUAGCCGGGUAGCUAUAUCCGGGAGAGAUAAACGCUGAAAGCAUCUAAGCGUGAAACUUGCCUCGAGAUGAGACUUCCCUGUGCCUUGAGCACACUGAAGGGUCGCGGAAGACCACCGCGUUGAUAGGUCGGAUGUGGAAGCGCAGUAAUGCGUUAAGCUGACCGAUACUAAUUGCCCGUGCGGCUUGACCCU
Molecule: non-coding RNA, 305 nt
Organism: Methylophilales bacterium
Lineage: Bacteria; Pseudomonadati; Pseudomonadota; Betaproteobacteria; Nitrosomonadales
Source: Rfam